GCUGAAGUAGCUCAACGGUAGAGCAGCUGACUUGUAAUCAGCAGGUUGUGGGUUCAAAUCCCACCUUCAGCUCAA
This 75-nucleotide transfer RNA is filed under the name Ignavibacteria bacterium. RNAcentral describes it as "tRNA-Thr". It matches the Rfam family "tRNA". From Rfam's summary of the family: Transfer RNA (tRNA) molecules are approximately 80 nucleotides in length. Their secondary structure includes four short double-helical elements and three loops (D, anti-codon, and T loops). Lineage: Bacteria; Pseudomonadati; Ignavibacteriota; Ignavibacteria. The record is from RNAcentral.